RNAcentral lists this ribosomal RNA (253 nucleotides) under uncultured bacterium. Its description in RNAcentral is "partial 16S ribosomal RNA". It matches the Rfam family "Bacterial small subunit ribosomal RNA", at positions 524 to 776 of the family's 1533-position model. The record is from RNAcentral.
UACAGAGGUCUCAAGCGUUGUUCGGAUUCAUUGGGCGUAAAGGGUGCGUAGGUGGCGCGCUAAGUCAGGUGUGAAAUUUCGGAGCUUAACUCCGAAACUGCAUUUGAUACUGGCGGGCUUGAGGACUGGAGAGGAGACUGGAAUUCAUGGUGUAGCAGUGAAAUGCGUAGAGAUCAUGAGGAAGACCAGUGGCGAAGGCGGGUCUCUGGACAGUUCCUGACACUGAGGCACGAAGGCCAGGGGAGCAAACGGG